RNAcentral lists this long non-coding RNA (452 nucleotides) under Prunus dulcis (almond). RNAcentral's name for it is "sRNA ncRNA". The record is from RNAcentral. Lineage: Eukaryota; Viridiplantae; Streptophyta; Magnoliopsida; Rosales; Rosaceae.
AUGAAAUUCCCUGAUUGCUUUAUCCAGUUGAUCAUGGGUUGUAUUACAUCUGUUUCUUACUCCCUAUUGAUUCAAGGGUGUCCGCUGGGUCUCCUCACUCCUACUCAGGGUCUACGCCAAGGAAAUCCCUUCUCAUCCUAUUUAUUCCUUUUAGUGACUGAGGGCUUUCCAUCUUCACUUCAGAAAGCUAAUCAGGAUUCUCGAGUUUUCGGGAUUUCUAUUGUUCCUUUCGCACCUUCUCUUAAUCACCUAUUUUUUUGCAAAUGACAUCCUCUUAUUUUGUAAUGCUGAAGUUACCCAAAUAAUGGAGUUGAAGCGCCUCUUUAGUCUUUAUGAAGCAACGCUCGAGGCAGCAAAUAAAUUUUGCCAAGUUUGCUAUCUAUUUUAGCCCAUCUAACUCUGAAUCACCCCAAGCUCUUCUCGGGGUACCGGUAUUUCCAUGCCAUGAAUGA